AAGUUUUCCUCCAUUUUAAAAAAUAUCUCUAAGUUCCUGAUUAUUUUGUUCACUUUGAUAACUUCCUUAUCUACUUCCUGAGUUUGAGUCUCUUACAUUGUUCUUAUGCUUAGUUGACUCCCAUAGAUGGUCAUUUAUACUCUUUCAAAGGAGAAGACUUAGUCUUUAUCUUGUAUUUUAGCUGACUCAUUCUCUUUGGUGUCCACUACUGAGGAGUUGUGAGUUUAGGUGGAUGUCAUAGUGGGUGGUUUUCUCAUAUAUUUUGUGUUUAUUCCUUGUGCUUUGUCAUCUGACGAAUGUAUCUUCUAACUUUCUCCUCUGUUUUAUCCUCUGUCUCACAUGAUUUCUCCUGGUAAUUGGUCUUUACUUGGACUUAUGUUACCUACCCUUUUUAGCAGCAAAUGUGCCUGAACUACCAGACAUAAUGACUCAGCAGAAGUCCCAGUGCUGACUUACAGUAGAAAAUACUAGGGCACUUUUCCAAAUCGCCAAUAGAGUUCAAAGACAGUGUUAAUGUAAAAAUGUACUUUUUUGAGUUAAUGUUUAAAUCAUAAAGAGAAUAAGGAAAGGAAAUUUACAAAAGAAGGACUGAAAUUAAAAUGAGAAAGGAAGCAUGUGAGUCAUAGUUUAGGACAAGAGAGAAAUUGUUGUAAGACUUGAGUCAUAAAAGCUUUGACAGCAAGAUUAAAUUAUAAGACAGCAACCUAACAAAAUAUAAACUUACAAAUAUGAAUAAAUACAGUCUUCAGGAAAUGACAUGAACAUUGCAUUUGUGAAAUCACAAAAAGAUUGUACCUUUAAGCAUUCUAUCAUUGUCAGGAUGUUCAACCCUAUCUGAAGAGCUACAUUCUGUUGGUGCUUGCUUGGGGGAGGAGAAGUCAUAUUCCUCAGUGGUGUAAUGCUGAUAAGCAGUUGUCUUUCUCCAGGAACUCCCCUGCACAGGUCCAUGCUCAUGGAAGAAAUCCUACUUGAAGGUAGUGGGCCACAAGAAAAGGAUAUAAAUAUAAGGAUGAGGUGGUUUCACUCUGCUUGGAAUGAUUUUGAAUUAGUCUUCAAAAUGGGAAAGGCAGCCAAACAAGUUAUCAGUUGGUCCUUCCAGAAGAGGAUUUCUGUGAUGAAAGACCACAUUUCUGUCAGAAGUUUUUGAGCUAAAUACUUUCAAGACAAAGAAUUAAAAGAAAAACACACACCAAGACUGAUUACAUAUUUCAUAAUAUGAGGUUUUACUCAGAAACACACUCCUGAUGCAGACCACAGAUGAAGGAGCCAUGGUUGGGACCGUCUGGUCUGGGAUGUGCAGGUGUGCUUCUCAUCUGGACUCCCCAGGGAGGCUAUGCUUAAGGAGCUCCAGUUUUUGUUCAGCUUGUGCUAUCAUUUUAAACACUGUGAGUAUAUUCCCAGAGCGCACAGAAAUACUUCACUGAAUCUUCUAGCUGUGAGGCUGAAAUAACAAGGCUGAUGGACUUGGCUGAUUCCUGAAAGACAACAGAGUAGCGGCUGCUCUUCUCAGUCUGAGUAGAAUAAGAAAACUGGCGAAUAAGAAAAAUCAUGUCUCCACUAAGAAGCUGCUUGUACCAAAAAAGAUAAUAAAAGUUCCAACUUGUCUCAUAUGAACAGUCCAGGGUGAUUGAUUCCCCCUCCAGUGUGCUUGCGGUUGAUUGGACCUGAGUCACUUUCUGGCUCAAAUUGGAUCCUGCAGAAAAAUCAAAAGAAAGAAAAAAGCUCAUUCUGUGAUAGUGUGAACAAAACAUUGUUGGAAUUCGCUACCUUGAGACCCAAGACAAACCCAACUGAAGACAUAUUCUGCUUGCUUCUCUCUAAUCCCUGUUCCCCAUCAUGUCCACGCGAACUGCUACAUGCCUAGGGCAAGGCUUCCUGCUUAAUAUACUUAACUAUAUGUAAGACAUCCAUACCAGAGAAGGCCAAGGCCACAAACACACAGAGCAGGCUGUGAGGAGAUAUGUGGCACAUCUCCUUCGCUAUGAAUAUGUCUCCUCGGCCUUAGAUCAGUGUCAAGUGACUGCACAUGUACUGUUAUUCCUACAUCGCCUCAAGCAGGAAAUGGGGUUUUGUAUGAUCACAGGCCACAAGUUCCUUAUACAGAGAGAAACAGUGUAGCUCACCAUAGACUUUUAUUUGCUUCCUGUCUUUCUUGGUAGUUAAAAGAGGCAGCACUUAAAAGGGAGAAUGGGAAAACCUGUCCCUGCUGAGCAUAAAGCUACUUUGAACUCAUGGUUGUUAUUUAGAGGGAUAAUUUGGGAGACCCAAAGUCAGAUUCACCAAGAGUCAUGUGCAGUCUUUAAUGCACUUACAGACCAUUGUCUGUGGUGAUAUUGUGUUCCCCCAAAUAUCCUGCACCCUAAUAAACUUACCUGGGGUCAGAGAACAGGACAGCCACAAUAUUAAACAUAGAGGUUAGGCAGUGGUAGCACAUGCCUUUAAUCCUAGCACUCCAGAGGCAGAAAUCCCUCUGGAUCUCUGUAAGUUCAAGGCCACAUUGGAAACAGCCAGGCAUGGUGACUCAAGCCUUUAA
Peromyscus eremicus (cactus mouse) is the source of this 2533-nucleotide long non-coding RNA. RefSeq lists it as uncharacterized. The transcript has 3 exons. The record is from RefSeq and is a predicted model, not a curated record. NCBI's taxonomy places the organism in Eukaryota, Metazoa, Chordata, Mammalia, Rodentia, Cricetidae.